Molecule: ribosomal RNA, 784 nt
Filed under: uncultured Granulicatella sp.
Lineage: Bacteria; Bacillati; Bacillota; Bacilli; Lactobacillales; Carnobacteriaceae
Description: bacterial SSU rRNA
Rfam family: Bacterial small subunit ribosomal RNA
Source: RNAcentral
UGCUUGCACUGGUCAAUCUAGUGGCGAACGGGUGAGUAACACGUGGGUAACCUGCCCAUCAGAGGGGGAUAACAUUCGGAAACGGAUGCUAAAACCGCAUAGGUCCUUUAACCGCAUGGUUUGAAGAGGAAAAGAGGCGCAAGCUUCUGCUGAUGGAUGGACCCGCGGUGCAUUAGCUAGUUGGUGAGGUAACGGCUCACCAAGGCCGUGAUGCAUAGCCGACCUGAGAGGGUGAUCGGCCACAUUGGGACUGAGACACGGCCCAAACUCCUACGGGAGGCAGCAGUAGGGAAUCUUCCGCAAUGGACGCAAGUCUGACGGAGCAACGCCGCGUGAGUGAAGAAGGUUUUCGGAUCGUAAAACUCUGUUGUUAGAGAAGAACAAGUGCUAGAGUAACUGUUAGCGCCUUGACGGUAUCUAACCAGAAAGCCACGGCUAACUACGUGCCAGCAGCCGCGGUAAUACGUAGGUGGCAAGCGUUGUCCGGAUUUAUUGGGCGUAAAGCGAGCGCAGGCGGUUCCUUAAGUCUGAUGUGAAAGCCCCCGGCUCAACCGGGGAGGGUCAUUGGAAACUGGGGAACUUGAGUGCAGAAGAGGAGAGUGGAAUUCCAUGUGUAGCGGUGAAAUGCGUAGAUAUAUGGAGGAACACCAGUGGCGAAGGCGACUCUCUGGUCUGUAACUGACGCUGAGGCUCGAAAGCGUGGGUAGCAAACAGGAUUAGAUACCCUGGUAGUCCACGCCGUAAACGAUGAGUGCUAAGUGUUGGAGGGUUUCCGCCCUUCAGU